AGGGCGAACGCUGGCGGCAGGCUUAACACAUGCAAGUCGAGCGCCGUAGCAAUACGGAGCGGCAGACGGGUGAGUAACACGUGGGAACGUACCUUUUGGUUCGGAACAACCCAGGGAAACUUGGGCUAAUACCGGAUAAGUCCGUAAGGAGAAAGAUUUAUCGCCAAAAGAUCGGCCCGCGUCUGAUUAGCUAGUUGGUGAGGUAACGGCUCACCAAGGCGACGAUCAGUAGCUGGUCCGAGAGGAUGAUCAGCCACAUUGGGACUGAGACACGGCCCAAACUCCUACGGGAGGCAGCAGUGGGGAAUAUUGGACAAUGGGCGCAAGCCUGAUCCAGCCAUGCCGCGUGAGUAAUGAAGGCCCUAGGGUUGUAAAGCUCUUUCGGCGGGAAGAUAAUGACGGUACCCGCGAAGAACGAAGCCCCGACUAACUUCGUGCCAGCAGCCGC
RNAcentral lists this ribosomal RNA (448 nucleotides) under uncultured soil bacterium. Its description in RNAcentral is "bacterial SSU rRNA". It matches the Rfam family "Bacterial small subunit ribosomal RNA", at positions 26 to 518 of the family's 1533-position model. The record is from RNAcentral.